RNAcentral lists this ribosomal RNA (293 nucleotides) under Escherichia coli. RNAcentral's name for it is "partial 16S ribosomal RNA". It matches the Rfam family "Bacterial small subunit ribosomal RNA", at positions 962 to 1255 of the family's 1533-position model. The record is from RNAcentral. Lineage: Bacteria; Pseudomonadati; Pseudomonadota; Gammaproteobacteria; Enterobacterales; Enterobacteriaceae.
CGAAGAACCUUACCUGGUCUUGACAUCCACGGAAGUUUUCAGAGAUGAGAAUGUGCCUUCGGGAACCGUGAGACAGGUGCUGCAUGGCUGUCGUCAGCUCGUGUUGUGAAAUGUUGGGUUAAGUCCCGCAACGAGCGCAACCCUUACCCUUUGUUGCCAGCGGUCCGGCCGGGAACUCAAAGGAGACUGCCAGUGAUAAACUGGAGGAAGGUGGGGAUGACGUCAAGUCAUCAUGGCCCUUACGACCAGGGCUACACACGUGCUACAAUGGCGCAUACAAAGAGAAGCGACCU